This 536-nucleotide long non-coding RNA is filed under the name Dermacentor andersoni. RNAcentral describes it as "uncharacterized LOC126526464". Lineage: Eukaryota; Metazoa; Arthropoda; Arachnida; Ixodida; Ixodidae. The record is from RNAcentral.
UGGUGCUUUCAGUGCCGAAUUUUUUAUAGAACAUGUAGUUUUCCAUUAUAAAGGGGACUGUAAUGCGACGUCUUUAAGUAGGGGGUUGUCUUAUAUUCAGAGUCGACUUAUGUUUCAAUAUGAACGGGAAUGAAGUGUUACGCAAUUCUAUUAACGAAAUUUACCUCUGCUGUUUAGUUUCCAUAUUGUGCGUAGAAGCAACAGUGCGUGCACUUACAGCUGCUCAGUUUAUCUUCAAUGCUGCUCUCAUUUUGUAGCGUUCAUCACUUGUGCAUGUGCAACACAUUGGCGGAGGCAAUACGAACUGCAUUUCUCACUAGCUGGACAAGUCAGAAUGGCAAUGCACCUUGGAGAACAAGACUCGAAUUGUGAAAGUCUGGUGGUUUCACAGAACUUUGUUUUAUGUCAAGAUGGGCUGACGCCAUGUCACCUGAUGCUGUCACUCUCUGGAAAUGCCUAUUUUCUGCCUGCCCAGGAGGAGCUCCAAGCAAUAAUCACAGAUCAAAACGUCUGAUUGUGGUAUUCACCCAUUUCUA